AUGAAAUGUCAACUUUCUAAUGCCUAAAUGUCCAGUUUCUCUACUUAGCGGGGCCAUACGUCUUUGAACUCUAUUAUAUGCACUACGCUCAGGACUAUUGAUCGCAAGUUUGAUAAAUCUUUCCAAGUCUGCAGCAUACGUUUUGGCUGCCAAUUGACAGAACAGUAGCCGCCAAACUUGAAAAUGUGAAUGCGAGUUAUACUGCUAAGCGUUACGUAACAUAACUCCUAAGCUCCUCCCCCCCCAUUUCACACUUCGCCACAAAUUUCCAACCUCGUUAUGCAAUAUGUGCACGAUCUCUAUUGUCCAAAUUCAUCUCUCAACAUACGUGAAUAUAACAGAAAAAAAUUAAAAACUUUAGAGCACCGUAAUAACGAAUUCUCAAUAAAUUAUUUUAUUUAAUGUGA
Molecule: long non-coding RNA, 407 nt
Organism: Anthonomus grandis grandis
Lineage: Eukaryota; Metazoa; Arthropoda; Insecta; Coleoptera; Curculionidae
Exons: 2
Source: RefSeq, a predicted model, not a curated record